GGAGAGGGUCAGCACCUCCCUGCGCCCUGUCAGGGGGCCCGCAUCGUCCCGGUGCCCGUCCCGGGGGUGAGGGGUGCCCGCGCAGGCCUAUGGGCCAUGUUUUCCCCUCACCCCCGCUGCCCGGGGCCUGGUCUCUUCCCCUUUGCCCACAGGACCCCCUGGCAAAACGCACUUGUGUCUCUGUGCCAGGCACACGACGGACAGGAGCCAUGGGACACCCGCAAACCACCCAGCCACAGAACAGCCGGCAGCACCCUAUAAACAACUUGUGUGCGGAAGCCACAGCAACUGCAGCGUGUCACGGAGGAGCAGCGGGAGAGAGCAAAAGCCUUGCCAGCGGCCUGGGCUUGGGAAGCAAGAGAUAGAGCAGAGGAACGGAAGGUUGUAACUGGCCUCAGCAUUAUGGCUGGUCACAAACCGGAUCUUCGAGAAAAUCAAAAGAAGCUGAAAACUCCAGUUCCCCGAGCAGUUCUUCUGAGGGAGGAGAAGAAUGAAGCAGAACGGAUACAGGCUCCCGAAAGAUUUAUUACUACGCAACCACUCCAUCAGCUGAUCAUUUCAUCACACCGACAGAACUGACACUGUGGCCAUCUUCAGAUCUUGAACCCUCCAUCAAAAGAAAGCCCCAAAACCCAUAGGACCACCAGCUGAAGAGAGCUGAAGAGAACUGAAGAGAACUGAAGGAAAACUAUCCACGUUUUGUUUCCCCUUAUCACACUAAAUUAAUUUGCAAGACCAGUUAGCUUACCUUCAUCUCAAGGAAGUUACAGUAAGGUAUUGCAGCUACAUCUAAGCUCUUUAUACAUGUUUUCUAGUGUAGACACCACAGUGCUGGAGUCAGAUUAAAAAAUACAGUAGCUAAUUUUCAAACAGAUAGUUUUUAAAAAUGCUUCUAGUGAAAAAUAUAACGUAUGUUAUUUUGAAAAAGUUGCAUGUGCUGUGAACAUCCUUCCUAUCCACCUUAAAAGAAAGCUGUUGAUGUAAAGUUUAAUUCACAAUAUCAUUACUUGGGAGUUUUACUAAAUACAGUAAUGUUUCUUGUAUGUUUCAGUGUAGCUCAGAACUUCAUUUCCUGGGUCACCUUAAAGAUUAAAUCCAAGCUGGUACCUUUUCCAGCAGUAUUUGUGUCAUAACGAUGCCUUUCUGCACACCCAUUUUGCUCUGAAGGUACAUUUCCAUCUUAGAGAAGAGUAGCAUGUUUUAUUCCAGAGCACAUCUGUUCCCUACUCUUAAAGUACACACUUCAUCUGCACUGAAAGUGUUAUCAACUAAAUUUAUGAAACACUUAGGCACACUAAGUAUCUAUGUAAAUCUCUACUCAGCCCUUUAACAGAAAAGGGUAGGGAAAGAAUACAUCGAGAAAAAGAGCGAAGGAUCUGAGUGGCAGAGUAACUGCAGUAAUCUCAAAUGUCACAGUCUUACGUAAAAUAAGAACUGACACUUUCCCAUUUGUAACUGGUAUUAAGAGGAGGCAAGAUGAAUUUUAAGAAAGUUUUAUUAUACAAAAGAUGAUCCAAACCCCAAAGAGCUCUUCUACAGCUCUAAGAGUUUUGUUCUUUGACCUGUACUUCCGUAUGCUUUUCCAAAAAGCCAAGAUAAAAAGGUUCAUUAGUCCCAUUUUCUUCUUACCGAGAGAGUUGGAAAAAAAAAAUCGUAGCUACAUCAAAAUCUGUUAUUUAUUCUUUGUAUUCCAAGAACUGCUGAAGUCUUUUCUUAUGUUCUGCAGACACUUGCACUGCACUGAAAACAACAAAUGUAGAACGUAAGAUUUUACAGUAAAUGUAAUAC
This is a long non-coding RNA of Calidris pugnax (ruff), 1788 nucleotides long. RefSeq lists it as uncharacterized. The record is from RefSeq and is a predicted model, not a curated record. NCBI's taxonomy places the organism in Eukaryota, Metazoa, Chordata, Aves, Charadriiformes, Scolopacidae. The transcript has 3 exons.